This 1168-nucleotide ribosomal RNA is filed under the name Salmonella enterica subsp. enterica serovar Typhimurium. RNAcentral's name for it is "partial 23S ribosomal RNA". It matches the Rfam family "Bacterial large subunit ribosomal RNA", at positions 566 to 1610 of the family's 2925-position model. The record is from RNAcentral. Lineage: Bacteria; Pseudomonadati; Pseudomonadota; Gammaproteobacteria; Enterobacterales; Enterobacteriaceae.
GAGGAUACGGUUAACGGAGCGAAAGCGACGUUCAACCGCAAAACAAGCAGAGGGGGCUUAGUGGUGGGGUGACUGCGUACCUUUUGUAUAAUGGGUCAGCGACUUAUAUUCUGUAGCAAGGUUAACCGAAUAGGGGAGCCGGAGGGAAACCGAGUCUUAAUUGGGCGUUAAGUUGCAGGGUAUAGACCCGAAACCCGGUGAUCUAGCCAUGGGCAGGUUGAAGGUUGGGUAACACUAACUGGAGGACCGAACCGACUAAUGUUGAAAAAUUAGCGGAUGACCUGUGGCUGGGGGUGAAAGGCCAAUCAAACCGGGAGAUAGCUGGUUCUCCCCGAAAGCUAUUUAGGUAGCGCCUCGUGAAUUCAUCUCCGGGGGUAGAGCACUGUUUCGGCUAGGGGGCCAUCCCGGCUUACCAACCCGAUGCAAACUGCGAAUACCGGAGAAUGUUAUCACGGGAGACACACGGCGGGUGCUAACGUCCGUCGUGAAGAGGGAAACAACCCAGACCGCCAGCUAAGGUCCCAAAGUCAUGGUUAAGUGGGAAACGAUGUGGGAAGGCCCAGACAGCCAGGAUGUUGGCUUAGAAGCAGCCAUCAUUUAAAGAAAGCGUAAUAGCUCACUGGUCGAGUCGGCCUGCGCGGAAGAUGUAACGGGGCUAAACCAUGCACCGAAGCUGCGGCAGCGAACGUAUCACCCAAGACAACUUUACGGAGUUGACGAUUGACGGAGCGAAGCGACGUCAAAGCGUUCAUUAAAGUCGAGUUGGCUUAGGGAUACGUUCGUUGGGUAGGGGAGCGUUCUGUAAGCCUGUGAAGGUGUGUCGUGAGGCAUGCUGGAGGUAUCAGAAGUGCGAAUGCUGACAUAAGUAACGAUAAAGCGGGUGAAAAGCCCGCUCGCCGGAAGACCAAGGGUUCCUGUCCAACGUUAAUCGGGGCAGGGUGAGUCGACCCCUAAGGCGAGGCCGAAAGGCGUAGUCGAUGGGAAACGGGUUAAUAUUCCCGUACUUGGUGUUACUGCGAAGGGGGGACGGAGAAGGCUAUGUUGGCCGGGCGACGGUUGUCCCGGUUUAAGCGUGUAGGUGUGUGUUCCAGGUAAAUCCGGUUCACUUUAACACUGAGGCGUGACGACGAGGCACUACGGUGCUGAAGCAACAAAUGCCCUGCUUCCA